RNAcentral lists this non-coding RNA (181 nucleotides) under Bacillus sp. cl115. Lineage: Bacteria; Bacillati; Bacillota; Bacilli; Caryophanales; Bacillaceae. The record is from RNAcentral. RNAcentral also lists the same sequence under 2 other names.
AAUAACUAAUAUAUCGAGAGUUGGAAUGAAAAUCGUCAUGUUGAAUUGAAACAACUCCAUUAAUACUCCUACAUGCAUGAUUUGUUAGUAGACAGAUUGUGUAUGAAGCUAGGUGAAGUCGGCUGAACGAGCCUAAGUGAUUUUUAAUCAUAUGGUGUAGGAUAGGUCGGAUGGCUGAAAA